UAUAAAAGGCCAGCACCAGUCCAUUUUCAGCAUUCCUGCUCAGAGCAGAGAUUGCAAUUGGAGCUCUUUUCCUCUCUGAGAAGCCUCUAGCAAGGACAUCACAGGUGCCAUCAUGCGGGUUUCAAGUCAUCCAGAGCAGGGUGGAAGUGAACUGAACUCUGAUGACGAAUUCCUUGGGCUUCCUUUGCUGACUUCGCCACCUCAGUUUAUCGCCGGACAUUUGGAAGAUUUGGAAGAUGCCCUCCUGUGUCCUGACCUUCCACCUGCCUACCACACUGAUGACAGCGAAGACCACAGCAGUGAGGACAGUGAGGGUGGCCAUUCUGAUGACAGCAAUGACAAGCAUGGCAGCAGGCAUGAUGACAGUGACUAUCACAGCCAGGAUGAUCACACCAAUGAUGUCUACAGCAAAGGCUAUGUCAAACUGCAAGAACAAGGAAUGUGCACAGCUUGCUGUCACCUUUGCAAUAUGCAAACUAAGUGGGAACUCAGCCACAGAAAAGCCACAGAGAGAAGAGGAAAGGCUGUAGAAAUGAAAGCAAAGGAGCUAGAAGUGUACCACGAGUGUGAAGCAAGAUGUCAAUGGAAAGAUCGUGAAGCAUUAUUUUCAGGCUCUGUUUUUCAUGAAGGGGUCACCAUGUCAGUGUCGGGUCUCCCAGAGAGCAGUGGACAGGACACGAGUUCUGAUGAAGGAGGCCUCAUGUCCCCCCAGUUUGUGCCAGGACAAUUGGAAGAUUUGGAAGAUGCCCUUCUGUGUCCCAAGCUCCAACCUGAUGUGGACAUGGAUAUGGAAGAAGAGGGAUUUGCUUUGCUGGAUGCGUGGAGUUAG
This 829-nucleotide long non-coding RNA is filed under the name Phascolarctos cinereus (koala). RNAcentral describes it as "lncRNA (ENSPCIG00000031744.1)". The record is from RNAcentral. Lineage: Eukaryota; Metazoa; Chordata; Mammalia; Diprotodontia; Phascolarctidae.